This is a non-coding RNA of Biomphalaria pfeifferi, 662 nucleotides long. The record is from the annotation of a GenBank genome assembly. NCBI's taxonomy places the organism in Eukaryota, Metazoa, Mollusca, Gastropoda, Planorbidae.
UUGUGUAUGUAUGUAUUACCACAAUGCCCAAGCAGCUACACUAGGAUAAUGUCAUCAAUUAGCCAGCUAGAUGGUCAAGGGACCUAGAUUGAAACAGUACCAGUAACACUUUUUCCACAAUGACAUUAAAGACUUUUUUUUUAGGAGCUUUGGGCACUUGUGGAAUUGUUGUCUUCUCACCAUUUUGAGUUGAACAUUGGAAUGCACAAUCAGAAGUACAUGCUCUCAUGAAGCAACAAAAAAGGUUGAUUCACACUUAGAAAUUCUCUUCACAUUCUCUUUACAAGAAAGUAUAACAUUAAUAAAAGCACCAACUAAUUAUUGAAACACAAAUAUUCAUCUAAAUUCUUUUGGUGCAAUAAUUCAUAGACAUAAGAUAAAGAAAAUGUUUCUUAAAACAGAACUAGUCAAAAUGUUUGUCUCUAGAUGGCAGAUAUCAAAAUGUUCAAUAAAUAGUUCAUGUCUACAAAAUGAGUUAAAAGAAAAACUCACAAGACUAUUCAAUGUAUAAGUAAUGACAGUCAACAAAGUUAUAUGAACAGUCAAUGUAUAAGACACUAUGUAUGCAGAGAAUUUAGCUUCCUGCUGGUGCGCCAGUCAGUUUAGUGGUCUUGUUGUAGCAGUAUUGGUGCUCCAGUAAUUUAGUGGUCUUGUUGUAGCUG